UGUGGGGGCCUUCGUGAGGCAGCAGUGGGGAAUAUUGCACAAUGGGCGAAAGCCUGAUGCAGCGACGCCGCGUGAGGGAUGACGGCCUUCGGGUUGUAAACCUCUUUCAGUAGGGAAGAAGCGCAAGUGACGGUACCUGCAGAAGAAGCGCCGGCUAACUACGUGCCAGCAGCCGCGGUAAUACGUAGGGCGCAAGCGUUGUCCGGAAUUAUUGGGCGUAAAGAGCUCGUAGGCGGUUUGUCGCGUCCGCUGUGAAAGCCCGGGGCUCAACCCCGGGUCGGCAGUGGGUACGGGCAGACUAGAGUGCAGUAGGGGAGACUGGAAUUCCUGGUGUAGCGGUGAAAUGCGCAGAUAUCAGGAGGAACACCGAUGGCGAAGGCAGGUCUCUGGGCUGUUACUGACGCUGAGGAGCGAAAGCAUGGGGAGCGAACAGGAUUAGAUACCCUGGUAGUCCAUGCCGUAAACGUUGGGCACUAGGUGUGGGGGACAUUCCACGUCCUCCGCGCCGUAGCUAACGCAUUAAGUGCCCCGCCUGGCAACC
RNAcentral lists this ribosomal RNA (541 nucleotides) under Kocuria dechangensis. RNAcentral's name for it is "bacterial SSU rRNA". It matches the Rfam family "Bacterial small subunit ribosomal RNA", at positions 327 to 881 of the family's 1533-position model. The record is from RNAcentral. Lineage: Bacteria; Bacillati; Actinomycetota; Actinomycetes; Micrococcales; Micrococcaceae.